GGGCCCGGACCAACGCUUCGUUUGUACAUCGCAAUUUCGGCCCGCUGGGCCGGCUACCUCAUCGCCCACCGUCGGAUCGUUCGAUCACCGCCUGUGAAUGAAGUACUAAUAAACCCUAAGCAGCCGCCGCCUAGCCGCCGCCGUCUUGGUAAGGCUCGCCUCUCCGCGGAUGCUCGCAAGAGAAAGCUGAAAAAGCUCGGAGAUUGUGUGUUGACAUCAGCUUCGUCUCUUUAUGUCUGUGAGAUGGGAGUUAAAUGACAGCACGAAAUUCCAUUCUCUUUGGGUGCACUGGUGCAGUCCUCCCCACCUACAAGGAUCAGCCACCAUCACUGCCGCUGCUGCACCAUUGCAGCUUUCCUUUCUGGAAUCUCCAUGAUACAAAACAAAACCAACCCUAGAUGUGUUCUAUUGCUGACACAGGGAGUUGUAAGUACAUGUUAAAUGGUGGCAUACUAUACAGCUGUACAAUAGACGCAAGAAACAAUAACCACUUACAUGCCAUCCUCCACCCUGAAAUAGAAAACCAUUUUUAGCAUGUUGGUGCUUCAUUUUGUAUUCCAUUGGGAUAUAAAAAUGGUAGAGAACAACCAUUUUUAACCCAAUUUUGUAUUCCUUUGCGGAUAUAAAUAUGGUAUAGAUUGUAACUUGAUAUCUGGACUCA
Molecule: long non-coding RNA, 661 nt
Filed under: Oryza sativa Indica Group (long-grained rice)
Lineage: Eukaryota; Viridiplantae; Streptophyta; Magnoliopsida; Poales; Poaceae
Description: lncRNA OsMH63_07G002400
Rfam family: Small nucleolar RNA snoR97 (bases 165-271)
Source: RNAcentral